This is a long non-coding RNA of Culex pipiens pallens (northern house mosquito), 1285 nucleotides long. RefSeq lists it as uncharacterized. The record is from RefSeq and is a predicted model, not a curated record. The transcript is spliced from 2 exons. NCBI's taxonomy places the organism in Eukaryota, Metazoa, Arthropoda, Insecta, Diptera, Culicidae.
CGCGUUCGUGGUCGGACGGACCAGAACAGCCUCCCACCGCCAACCCAAGUUAAGUGUGGCGUCGCUGGAUCGCUCGAGUGAAGCAGAAACUUUCGGGUUCGCGUUGUAUCUGCUGACGAACGGCAGGGGUAGAUUGCCGUGGAGAUCGGCGAUUCAGUCGCCCAUUCAUCGUUCUUCCCACGGAAUCGGACCAGUAGCACGCGCAGCGAAGACGCAGAUCCGCAGAGCCACGUACAGCAGUGAACCGCAGCAGCAUCUUCGAACGCGGUCGCGGAGGAAUUCUACCGGGAUGGUAGACCUCACGCGCAGCCGCAACCUGGAAACCAGAACAUCACACCCUGUCCGGCAAGUCAACUUGUCGGAGAUUCAUCGCCUACGAGCAGCGGCAGCAGUCGCUCAAGUAUGCAGAUGUUCGUGGUUCCAGCAAAAAGCCUAAUGGGGUGGCACGGUUGUGGUCGGACGGGCCAGACCAGCCACUCCAAAACGGCUCCGAGUUAAGUAGCCCUAAUUACUGACCAUUUGUUCAGACAAUCAGCCGUAUUUAAUCUGUCCCCAGACUUCAACGCCCACAACAGUACUGCAUCCAUCUGACGUCAACUCCAACAGCAGUGUGGAGUACUACUCAACGAGUGUGGACGGUCAUGGCGUGUUGUCGUGUACAGCAGCGUGAUCCGUACAGGUCGCUAGGCCAGCGGCAGAAGCUUUCGGUGCGCCGACCGGAAGUUUCAUUGAUGUUCGCCCAGCUUUGGGGAACAAUCUCCACGUACAGUGGUGGAGACGCAACUACAGGCGCAAAGAUGACGUCAAGCAUGGAAGGGACACACUGGUCCCAACUUCCAUUCCAGUAGAGACGCAGUUCUCUUUGGUUAGCGGACGCUGAUCCGCUGACACCGGUACCACGAGGUGCCUACAAACUGGAAUGGUCUAGCAGAAGUUGAAGGCGAAGAAGAAGAAGAACCCAACAGCAGUUGGACUACAGUUCAGAUGUGGGGAACAGACGGACGGACGGAGGAGAACAGAAGUUGGACAAGUUAGCAGCAGAUUGUUUCGUCGGUUAUGGAUGGCCUGUGGGAACAGGCAACAACAACAAGUCGUUCGAAGAAGGACGUCACUGUAACUGCAGUACCAGUGAGUCAACACACGCCAGCAAGCAGGAUGAGAAGGAGAAAGGUCUGCCCAACCUGGGAGACAACAACAACAAACAGUACAGCAAGCGCAAGCGGACGAAACAAUCAGCAACAGUUCGACAAACAACAACGGGCAACUAACGGAGGACAAAGAAGGA